GACGAACGCUGGCGGCGUGCUUAACACAUGCAAGUCGAACGGAAAGGCCCUGCUUUUGUGGGGUGCUCGAGUGGCGAACGGGUGAGUAACACGUGAGUAACCUGCCCUUGACUUUGGGAUAACUUCAGGAAACUAGGGCUAAUACCGGAUAGGAGCUCCCGCUGCAUGGUGGGGGGUGGAAAGUUUCGGCGGUUGGGUAUGGACUCGCGGCUUAUCUGCUGUUUGGUGGGGUAGUGGCUUACCAAGGCUUUGACGGGUAGCCGGCCUGAGAGGGUGACCGGCGACAUUGGGACUGAGAGACGGACCAGACGCCUACGGGAGGCAGCAGGGGGGAGUAUGGCACAGUGGGCGGACGCGUGAUGCAGAAACGCCGCGUGCGGGAUGACGGCCUUCGGGUGGUAAACCGCUUUCGCCUGUGACGAAGCGUGAGUGACGGUAAUGGGUCAGGAAGCACCGGCUAACUACGUG
This 468-nucleotide ribosomal RNA is filed under the name uncultured bacterium. RNAcentral describes it as "partial 16S ribosomal RNA". It matches the Rfam family "Bacterial small subunit ribosomal RNA", at positions 28 to 507 of the family's 1533-position model. The record is from RNAcentral.